Molecule: ribosomal RNA, 484 nt
Filed under: uncultured bacterium
Lineage: Bacteria
Description: partial 16S ribosomal RNA
Rfam family: Bacterial small subunit ribosomal RNA
Source: RNAcentral
AUUGAACGCUGGCGGCAGGCCUAACACAUGCAAGUCGAGCGGAUGAAGGGAGCUUGCUCCUGGAUUCAGCGGCGGACGGGUGAGUAAUGCCUAGGAAUCUGCCUGGUAGUGGGGGAUAACGUCCGGAAACGGGCGCUAAUACCGCAUACGUCCGGAGGGAGAAAGUGGGGGAUCUUCGGACCUCACGCUAUCAGAUGACCCUAGGUCGGAUUAGCUAGUUGGUGGGGUAAAGGCCUACCAAGGCGACGAUCCGUAACUGGCCUGAGAGGAUGAUCAGUCACACUGGAACUGAGACACGGUCCAGACUCCUACGGGAGGCAGCAGUGGGGAAUAUUGGACAAUGGGCGAAAGCCUGAUCCAGCCAUGCCGCGUGUGUGAAGAAGGUCUUCGGAUUGUAAAGCACUUUAAGUUGGGAGGAAGGGCAGUAAGUUAAUACCUUGCUGUUUUGACGUUACCAACAGAAUAAGCACCGGCUAACUUCGUG